Molecule: small nucleolar RNA, 112 nt
Filed under: Gossypium hirsutum (cotton)
Lineage: Eukaryota; Viridiplantae; Streptophyta; Magnoliopsida; Malvales; Malvaceae
Description: Plant small nucleolar RNA R71
Rfam family: Plant small nucleolar RNA R71
About the family: R71 is a member of the C/D box family of snoRNAs containing the C (UGAUGA) and D (CUGA) box motifs. Multiple nearly identical copies of this snoRNA have been identified in Arabidopsis, and it is thought to function as a 2'-O-ribose methylation guide for 18S ribosomal RNA.
Source: Rfam by way of RNAcentral
AAGCCAUGUAUCGAGCAUUUUCUGAUUAAUUCCUUGAAUCGUUCCCAAGUUUCAUACAAUGUCUCAUCCUCAUAUUGCCUAGCCAAAAAUAGGCAAUAUCAUUCCUUAAUUU